RNAcentral lists this non-coding RNA (26 nucleotides) under Cricetulus griseus (Chinese hamster). RNAcentral also lists the same sequence under 1 other name. Lineage: Eukaryota; Metazoa; Chordata; Mammalia; Rodentia; Cricetidae. The record is from RNAcentral.
UAGGAGUUGGAAUAGGAGCUUGCUCC